GAUGAACGCUGGCGGCGUGCCUAAUACAUGCAAGUCGAGCGAACAGACGAGGAGCUUGCUCCUCUGACGUUAGCGGCGGACGGGUGAGUAACACGUGGAUAACCUACCUAUAAGACUGUGAUAACUUCGGGAAACCGGAGCUAAUACCGGAUAAUAUAUUGAACCGCAUGGUUCAGUAGUGAAAGACGGUUUUGCUGUCACUUAUAGAUGGAUCCGCGCCGCAUUAGCUAGUUGGUAAGGUAACGGCUUACCAAGGCGACGAUGCGUAGCCGACCUGAGAGGGUGAUCGGCCACACUGGAACUGAGACACGGUCCAGACUCCUACGGGAGGCAGCAGUAGGGAAUCUUCCGCAAUAGGCGAAAGCCUGACGGAGCAACGCCGCGUGAGUGAUGAAGGUCUUCGGAUCGUAAAACUCUGUUAUUAGGGAAGAACAAAUGUGUAAGUAACUAUGCACGUCUUGACGGUACCUAAUCAGAAAGCCACGGCUAACUACGUG
Molecule: ribosomal RNA, 497 nt
Filed under: uncultured bacterium
Lineage: Bacteria
Description: partial 16S ribosomal RNA
Rfam family: Bacterial small subunit ribosomal RNA
Source: RNAcentral